CAGCCGCCGCGGGAAUACGAAGGGGGCUGGCGUUGCUCGGAAUGACUGGGCGUAAAGGGCGCGUAGGCGGCGGCCAAAGUCAGGCGUGAAAUUCCCGGGCUCAACCUGGGGGCUGCGUUUGAUACUUGGUUGCUUGAGUGGGGAAGAGGGUCGUGGAAUUCCCAGUGUAGAGGUGAAAUUCGUAGAUAUUGGGAAGAACACCGGUGGCGAAGGCGGCGACCUGGUCCUUUACUGACGCUGAUGCACGAAAGCUAGGGGAGCGAACAGGAUUAGAUACCCCCGUAGUCCCUGUCUCUUAUAA
This 301-nucleotide ribosomal RNA is filed under the name uncultured bacterium. Its description in RNAcentral is "partial 16S ribosomal RNA". It matches the Rfam family "Bacterial small subunit ribosomal RNA", at positions 509 to 809 of the family's 1533-position model. The record is from RNAcentral.